RNAcentral lists this ribosomal RNA (253 nucleotides) under uncultured bacterium. RNAcentral's name for it is "partial 16S ribosomal RNA". It matches the Rfam family "Bacterial small subunit ribosomal RNA", at positions 524 to 776 of the family's 1533-position model. The record is from RNAcentral.
UACGAAGGUCCCAAGCGUUAUCCGGAUUCAUUGGGCGUAAAGGGUGCGUAGGCGGCGCGGUAAGUCGGGUGUGAAAUCUCGGAGCUUAACUCCGAAACUGCAUUCGAUACUGCCGUGCUUGAGGACUGGAGAGGAGACUGGAAUUUACGGUGUAGCGGUGAAAUGCGUAGAUAUCGUAAGGAAGACCAGUGGCGAAGGCGGGUCUCUGGACAGUUCCUGACGCUGAGGCACGAAGGCCAGGGGAGCAAACGGG